This 1506-nucleotide ribosomal RNA is filed under the name uncultured bacterium. RNAcentral describes it as "bacterial SSU rRNA". It matches the Rfam family "Bacterial small subunit ribosomal RNA". The record is from RNAcentral.
AGAGUUUGAUCCUGGCUCAGAUUGAACGCUGGCGGCAUGCCUUACACAUGCAAGUCGAACGGCAGCACGGGAGCUUGCUCCUGGUGGCGAGUGGCGAACGGGUGAGUAAUAUAUCGGAACGUACCCUAGAGUGGGGGAUAACGCAGCGAAAGUUGCGCUAAUACCGCAUACGAUCUACGGAUGAAAGUGGGGGAUCGCAAGACCUCAUGCUCAUGGAGCGGCCGAUAUCUGAUUAGCUAGUUGGUAGGGUAAAAGCCUACCAAGGCUUCGAUCAGUAGCUGGUCUGAGAGGACGACCAGCCACACUGGAACUGAGACACGGUCCAGACUCCUACGGGAGGCAGCAGUGGGGAAUUUUGGACAAUGGGCGCAAGCCUGAUCCAGCAAUGCCGCGUGAGUGAAGAAGGCCUUCGGGUUGUAAAGCUCUUUUGUCAGGGAAGAAACGGUGGACUCUAAUACAGAUCACUAAUGAGCGGUACCUGAAGAAUAAGCACCCGGCUAACUACGUGCCAGCAGCCGCGGUAAUACGUAGGGUGCAGGCGUUAAUCGGAAUUACUGGGCGUAAAGCGUGCGCAGGCGGUUGUGCAAGACAGAUGUGAAAUCCCCGGGCUCAACCUGGGAAUUGCAUUUGUGACUGCACGGCUAGAGUGUGUCAGAGGGGGGGUAGAAUUCCACGUGUAGCAGUGAAAUGCGUAGAGAUGGGGGAGGAAUACCGAUGGCGAAAGGCAGCCCCCUGGGAUAACACUGACGCUCAUGCACGAAAGCGUGGGGAGCAAACAGGAUUAGAUACCCUGGUAGUCCACGCCCUUAAACGAUGUCUACUAGUUGUUGGGUCUUAAUUUGACUUAGUAACGCAGCUAACGCGUGAAGUAGACGCCUGGGGGAGUACGGUCGCAAGAUUAAAACUCAAAGGAAUUGACGGGGACCCGCACAAGCGGUGGAUGAUGUGGAUUAAUAUCGAUGCAACGCGAAAAAACCUUACCUACCCUUGACAUGUACGGAAUCCCUGAGAGAAUUAGGGAGUGCUCGAAAGAGAGCCGUAACACAGGUGCUGCAUGGCUGUUCGUCAGCCUCGUGUCGUGAGAUGUUGGGUUAAGUCCCGCAACGAGCGCAACCCUUGUCAUUAGUUGCUACGAAAGGGCACUCUAAUGAGACUGCCGGUGACAAACCGGAGGAAGGUGGGGAUGACGUCAAGUCCUCAUGGCCCUUAUGGGUAGGGCUUCACACGUCAUACAAUGGUACAUACAGAGGGCCGCCAACCCGCGAGGGGGAGCUAAUCCCAGAAAGUGUAUCGUAGUCCGGAUUGUAGUCUGCAACUCGACUACAUGAAGUUGGAAUCGCUAGUAAUCGCGGAUCAGCAUGUCGCGGUGAAUACGUUCCCGGGUCUUGUACACACCGCCCGUCACACCAUGGGAGCGGGUUUCACCAGAAGUAGGUAGCCUAACCGUAAGGAGGGCGCUUACCACGGUGGGAUUCGUGACUGGGGUGAAGUCGUAACAAGGUAACC